AUCCAGCUGACGUGUCCCAAGUAGGACGAAACGCGCGUCAAAUCGGAU
Non-coding RNA from Schistosoma mattheei, 48 nucleotides. The record is from Rfam. Lineage: Eukaryota; Metazoa; Platyhelminthes; Trematoda; Strigeidida; Schistosomatidae.